GACGAACGCUGGCGGCGUGCUUAACACAUGCAAGUCGAACGGAAAGGCCCUGCUUGCAGGGUACUCGAGUGGCGAACGGGUGAGUAACACGUGGGUGGUCUGCCCUGCACUUCGGGAUAGCUUGGGAAACUGGGUCUAAUACCGGAUAGGAGCCAUCUUUAGUGUGGUGGUUGGAAAGUUUUUUCGGUGUAGGAUGAGCUCGCGGCCUAUCAGCUUGUUGGUGGGGUAAUGGCCUACCAAGGCGGCGACGGGUAGCCGGCCUGAGAGGGUGUACGGCCACAUUGGGACUGAGAUACGGCCCAGACUCCUACGGGAGGCAGCAGUGGGGAAUAUUGCACAAUGGGCGCAAGCCUGAUGCAGCGACGCCGCGUGGGGGAUGAAGGCCUUCGGGUUGUAAACUCCUUUCGCUAGGGACGAAGCUUUUUUGUGACGGUACCUAGAUAAGAAGCACCGGCUAACUACGUG
RNAcentral lists this ribosomal RNA (465 nucleotides) under uncultured bacterium. RNAcentral's name for it is "partial 16S ribosomal RNA". It matches the Rfam family "Bacterial small subunit ribosomal RNA", at positions 28 to 507 of the family's 1533-position model. The record is from RNAcentral.